RNAcentral lists this ribosomal RNA (470 nucleotides) under uncultured bacterium. RNAcentral's name for it is "partial 16S ribosomal RNA". It matches the Rfam family "Bacterial small subunit ribosomal RNA", at positions 28 to 507 of the family's 1533-position model. The record is from RNAcentral.
GACGAACGCUGGCGGCGUGCUUAACACAUGCAAGUCGAACGGUGAACGAGGGAGCUUGCUCCCUCCGGAUCAGUGGCGGACGGGUGAGUAACACGUGAGCAAUGUGCCCCGAACUCUGGGAUAAGCGUUGGAAACGACGUCUAAUACCGGAUACGACGCGGCAGGGCAUCCUCUCCGCGUGCAAAGAACUUCGGUUCGGGAUGAGCUCGGGGCCUAUCAUCUUGUUGGUGAGGGAGAGGCUCACCAAGGCGACGACGGGGAGCCGGCCUGAGAGGGUGACCGGCCAAACUGGGACUGAGACACGGCCCAGACUCCUACGGGAGGCAGCAGUGGGGAAUAUUGCACGAUGGGCGCAAGCCUGAUGCAGCAACGCCGCGUGAGGGAUGACGGCCUUCGGUUUGUAGGCCUCUUUUAGCAGGGAAGAAGCGAAAGUGACGGUACCUGCAGAAAAAGCACCGGCUAACUACGUG